CACUGACUCGUGGAGCCCAGCCGUAGGUCGUCCCCAACCUCCCGCUCAACCCGCAUGGGAUAGAGCCGCCGCGCCACGCUCCCACAACCGCCGGCCGCAGCCCUCGUGGAGGAUGCUUAUCCGCAGCCCCGCGCCUCCUCUCCGUGCCUAUAAAAGCCCCGAGACACCUUCAUCCGAUCCCGCCCCUCCUCUACUCAGCACGUCGCCCGCAGCCUCCAUCCUCUUCGUGUGCAUCUCGCCGGAGCCAAGCCGUUCCGCCAAGGAUUUCGUCGCCGGUCCCGCUGGAGCCGCUGCCCCGACGCGUCGCACCGGAGCUCAGAGCCUCCGCCUUCGCCUCGCCCCGUCCCGACCCCGCCGACGCCCCACUCCAGCACCACCCGAAGGCCCGCGUCGCGCUCGACCUGGCCGUACCCUCCGCUGCCGCCGGAGCCGCCACCCAGCCCGUCACCCAGACCGCGUUGCCGUCCUUUGUUCAUCGUCAUUGCUGCUAUGUUCAUCGGAGAGUGAUGAAUAGUUCUAUUAAGUAAACUUCUGAGAGCGAUAUAAUCUUCAUCAACCAUUACCAGGCAAGUUC
This is a long non-coding RNA of Triticum urartu, 574 nucleotides long. RefSeq lists it as uncharacterized. The record is from RefSeq and is a predicted model, not a curated record. NCBI's taxonomy places the organism in Eukaryota, Viridiplantae, Streptophyta, Magnoliopsida, Poales, Poaceae.